CCUCAAUAUCAGUUGAUCAUACAUGGAAAAAGGAGAAAAUUGACUUUUAUCACAUUUGGUACAAAAUAGUGUGCAAGAUUUGGUGUUGAGUUGGAGUAGUGUAUUUGGUGAAAAAUUUGUGAUUUGGUUUUAAGGUUGGAAAGAAUAAAGCUUAUGUAACAGAGAGGCUAACCACCUCCUUGACAGAAGCCCCACAAAU
RNAcentral lists this long non-coding RNA (199 nucleotides) under Olea europaea (common olive). RNAcentral describes it as "long non-coding RNA (OEUR_LNC012970)". The record is from RNAcentral. Lineage: Eukaryota; Viridiplantae; Streptophyta; Magnoliopsida; Lamiales; Oleaceae.